RNAcentral lists this ribosomal RNA (460 nucleotides) under uncultured bacterium. Its description in RNAcentral is "partial 16S ribosomal RNA". It matches the Rfam family "Bacterial small subunit ribosomal RNA", at positions 338 to 795 of the family's 1533-position model. The record is from RNAcentral.
CCUACGGGUGGCAGCAGUGAGGAAUAUUGGUCAAUGCGCGAGAGCCUGAACCAGCCAAGUCGCGUGAAGGAUGACGGCCCUACGGGUUGUAAACUUCUUUUGUCAGGGAGCAAUUGCGUCCAAGUGUGGUCUUAGCGAGAGUACCUGAAGAAAAAGCAUCGGCUAACUACGUGCCAGCAGCCGCGGUAAUACGGAGGAUGCGAGCGUUAUCCGGAUUUAUUGGGGUAAAAGGGUGAGUAGGCGGAAUAUCAAGUCAGCGGUAAAAAUUCGGGGCUCAACCCCGUCGUGCCGUUGAAACUAAUGUUCUAGAGUGGGCGAGAAGUAUGCGGAAUGCGUGGUGUAGCGGUGAAAUGCAUAGAUAUCACGCAGAACUCCGAUUGCGAAGGCAGCAUACCGGCGCCCAACUGACGCUGAAGCACGAAAGCGUGGGUAUCGAACAGGAUUAGAUACCCCAGUAGUC